This 1312-nucleotide ribosomal RNA is filed under the name Melanothamnus gigas. RNAcentral's name for it is "small subunit ribosomal RNA". It matches the Rfam family "Bacterial small subunit ribosomal RNA". The record is from RNAcentral. Lineage: Eukaryota; Rhodophyta; Florideophyceae; Ceramiales; Rhodomelaceae.
UAUAUAAAGAGUUUGAUCCUGGCUCCGAAUGAAUGCUUUUGGUUAAUUUUACACAUGCAAGUUAUUAAUUAAUUUAAUAGCGCACGGGUGAGUAAUAUACAAAAAUAAUUUAAAAAAAAUAGUUUGUAAAAGAUUAAGUAUUAACGGUAUAAUUAAAAAAGUUAGCUGAUAAUCUUUAGCUGAUUUUUGAGAAUGAUCAGCCACACUGGAAUUGAAAACGGUCCAGACUAAUUUUAGGCAGCAGUGAAGAAUCUUGGACAAUGAGUGUAAACUUGAUCCAGUUAAACCAAUUAUGUGAAGAAGAUUUGUAUUGUAAAACAUUAAAUUUUAAAAUAAUCAUGAUUCUUAAAAUUUUAGUCCUGGCUAAUUUCGUGCCAGCAGCCGCGGUAAAACGAGAAGGACAAGUGUUAUUCAAAUUAAUUGGGCGUAAAGUAUUAUUAGGUGGUAAAUUAAUGUAAAUUUUUUUAACUAAAUCAACUGAAAAAGUUUAAGAAUAGCUAAAGUUAUUAAACAAAUUUACUUGAGUUUAAUAAAAAAAGAUUUUAGAAUUUUACGUGUAACAGUAAAAUGUAGUAAUAUGUAAAAGAAUUUCUAAGGCAAAGGCAAAAAUCUGAUAUAAACUGACACUUUUUAAUUAAAGUAUAGGUAGCAAAAGGGAUUAGAUACCCCUGUAGUCUAUACCCUGAACGAUGAAUGUUAUUGUUUUAACCGACAUUUACUUAACAGAAAACAUUUCGCCUGGGAACUACGAUCGCAAGAUUAAAACUCAAAGGAAUUGACGGGAACUCAAACAAGCAGUGGAGCAUGUGGUUUAAAUCGAUAAUACGCGCGAAAUCUUACCAAUUUUUGUUUAUCAGGUGUUGCAUGGCUGUUGUCAGUCCGUGCUGUGAAGUGUUUGGUUUAUUCCAAUAAACGGACGUAACUUUUUUAUGCUAAAAAAUUUUGCAUAUUUAAUAAGGAGAUCUUAUUAAAAUAAAAACGAUAACAAGUCCUCAUGACCCUUAUGAAUUGGGCUACUUUCAUGUGCUACAAUAUUCUUUUCAAAAAUCAAAAUUAAAGUAAUUUUUUUAAUAAGAAAAAAAGAAUUUUUAAAUUGUUUUCUGAAAUUCGAAAACAUGAAAUUGGAAUUGCUAGUAAUCAGUUAAUAAGAAUGUAACGGUGAAUUUGUUCUUGAGUUUUGUACACACCGCCCGUCACGCUAUGGGAAUCUACUUUAUUUGAAGAAGUUAAUAUCUUUUAAAAUAAAACGAAGACUAGAGUGAAGUCGUAACAAGGUAGCCGUAGGGGAACCUGUGGCUGGAAUAAAAUAAUA